GUUAUAUGGUCAAGUGAAGAAGCGCAUACGGUGGAUGCCUUGGCAGUCAGAGGCGAUGAAAGACGUGGUAGCCUGCGAAAAGCUUCGGGGAGUCGGCAAACAGACUUUGAUCCGGAGAUCUCUGAAUGGGGGAACCCACCUAGGAUAACCUAGGUAUCUUGUACUGAAUCCAUAGGUGCAAGAGGCGAACCAGGGGAACUGAAACAUCUAAGUACCCUGAGGAAAAGAAAUCAACCGAGAUUCCCUUAGUAGUGGCGAGCGAACGGGGAUUAGCCCUUAAGCUUCAUUGAUUUUAGCGGAACGCUCUGGAAAGUGCGGCCAUAGUGGGUGAUAGCCCCGUACGCGAAAGGAUCUUUGAAGUGAAAUCGAGUAGGACGGAGCACGAGAAACUUUGUCUGAACAUGGGGGGACCAUCCUCCAAGGCUAAAUACUACUGACUGACCGAUAGUGAACCAGUACCGUGAGGGAAAGGCGAAAAGAACCCCGGAGAGGGGAGUGAAAUAGAACCUGAAACCGUAUGCGUACAAGCAGUGGGAGCCUACUUGUUAGGUGACUGCGUACCUUUUGUAUAAUGGGUCAGCGACUUAUAUUCAGUGGCAAGCUUAACCGUAUAGGGUAGGCGUAGCGAAAGCGAGUCUUAAUAGGGCGUUUAGUCGCUGGGUAUAGACCCGAAACCGGGCGAUCUAUCCAUGAGCAGGUUGAAGGUUAGGUAACACUGACUGGAGGACCGAACCCACUCCCGUUGAAAAGGUAGGGGAUGACUUGUGGAUCGGAGUGAAAGGCUAAUCAAGCUCGGAGAUAGCUGGUUCUCCUCGAAAGCUAUUUAGGUAGCGCCUCAUGUAUCACUCUGGGGGGUAGAGCACUGUUUCGGCUAGGGGGUCAUCCCGACUUACCAAACCGAUGCAAACUCCGAAUACCCAGAAGUGCCGAGCAUGGGAGACACACGGCGGGUGCUAACGUCCGUCGUGAAAAGGGAAACAACCCAGACCGCCAGCUAAGGUCCCAAAGUUGUGGUUAAGUGGUAAACGAUGUGGGAAGGCUUAGACAGCUAGGAGGUUGGCUUAGAAGCAGCCAUCCUUUAAAGAAAGCGUAAUAGCUCACUAGUCGAGUCGGCCUGCGCGGAAGAUGUAACGGGGCUCAAACCACACACCGAAGCUGCGGGUGUCACGUAAGUGACGCGGUAGAGGAGCGUUCUGUAAGCCUGUGAAGGUGAGUUGAGAAGCUUGCUGGAGGUAUCAGAAGUGCGAAUGCUGACAUGAGUAACGACAAUGGGUGUGAAAAACACCCACGCCGAAAGACCAAGGGUUCCUGCGCAACGUUAAUCGACGCAGGGUUAGUCGGUUCCUAAGGCGAGGCUGAAAAGCGUAGUCGAUGGGAAACAGGUUAAUAUUCCUGUACUUCUGGUUACUGCGAUGGAGGGACGGAGAAGGCUAGGCCAGCUUGGCGUUGGUUGUCCAAGUUUAAGGUGGUAGGCUGAAAUCUUAGGUAAAUCCGGGGUUUCAAGGCCGAGAGCUGAUGACGAGUCGUCUUUUAGAUGACGAAGUGGUUGAUGCCAUGCUUCCAAGAAAAGCUUCUAAGCUUCAGGUAACCAGGAACCGUACCCCAAACCGACACAGGUGGUCGGGUAGAGAAUACCAAGGCGCUUGAGAGAACUCGGGUGAAGGAACUAGGCAAAAUGGCACCGUAACUUCGGGAGAAGGUGCGCCGGCUAGGGUGAAGGAUUUACUCCGUAAGCUCUGGCUGGUCGAAGAUACCAGGCCGCUGCGACUGUUUAUUAAAAACACAGCACUCUGCAAACACGAAAGUGGACGUAUAGGGUGUGACGCCUGCCCGGUGCCGGAAGGUUAAUUGAUGGGGUUAGCGCAAGCGAAGCUCUUGAUCGAAGCCCCGGUAAACGGCGGCCGUAACUAUAACGGUCCUAAGG
Molecule: ribosomal RNA, 1924 nt
Filed under: Pseudomonas aeruginosa
Lineage: Bacteria; Pseudomonadati; Pseudomonadota; Gammaproteobacteria; Pseudomonadales; Pseudomonadaceae
Description: partial 23S ribosomal RNA
Rfam family: Bacterial large subunit ribosomal RNA
Source: RNAcentral